UACGGGGGGGGCAAGCGUUGUUCGGAAUUACUGGGCGUAAAGGGCUCGUAGGCGGCCAACUAAGUCAGACGUGAAAUCCCCAGGCUCAACCUGGGAACUGCGUCUGAUACUGGAUGGCUUGAAUCCGGGAGAGGGAUGCAGAAUUCCAGGUGUAGCGGUGAAAUGCGUAGAGAUCCGGAGGAACACCAGAGGCGAAGGCGGCCUACUGGGCUGCACCUGACGCUGAGCCGCGAAAGCCAGGGGAGCGAACGGG
This 253-nucleotide ribosomal RNA is filed under the name uncultured bacterium. RNAcentral describes it as "partial 16S ribosomal RNA". It matches the Rfam family "Bacterial small subunit ribosomal RNA", at positions 524 to 776 of the family's 1533-position model. The record is from RNAcentral.